CAGUAGCCGCGGUAAUACGUAGGUGGCAAGCGUUGUCCGGAUUUAUUGGGCGUAAAGCGAGCGCAGGCGGUUUCUUAAGUCUGAUGUGAAAGCCCCCGGCUCAACCGGGGAGGGUCAUUGGAAACUGGGAAACUUGAGUGCAGAAGAGGAGAGUGGAAUUCCAUGUGUAGCGGUGAAAUGCGUAGAUAUAUGGAGGAACACCAGUGGCGAAGGCGGCUCUCUGGUCUGUAACUGACGCUGAGGCUCGAAAGCGUGGGGAGCAAACAGGAUUAGAUACCCCCGUAGUCCCUGUCUCUUAUAC
RNAcentral lists this ribosomal RNA (301 nucleotides) under uncultured bacterium. RNAcentral's name for it is "partial 16S ribosomal RNA". It matches the Rfam family "Bacterial small subunit ribosomal RNA", at positions 509 to 807 of the family's 1533-position model. The record is from RNAcentral.